This 635-nucleotide ribosomal RNA is filed under the name Tetanocera robusta. RNAcentral's name for it is "partial 12S ribosomal RNA". The stretch from base 418 to 489 matches the Rfam family "tRNA". The record is from RNAcentral. Lineage: Eukaryota; Metazoa; Arthropoda; Insecta; Diptera; Sciomyzidae.
GCCUGAGUAGUAUUAGUUAUGUUCUUGAAACUUAAAAAAUUUGGCGGUAUUUUAGUCUAUUCAGAGGAACCUGUUUUGUAAUCGAUAAUCCACGAUGGACCUUACUUAUCCUUGUUAAUCAGUUUAUAUACCGUCGUUAUCAGAAUAUUUUAAAAGAAAAAUAAUUUUCAAUAAUUUUUAUUAAAAUUUAUAUCAGAUCAAGGUGUAGCUUAUGGAUAAGAAAUAAUGGGUUACAAUAAAUGUAUUUAUAUGGAUAUAAAAAUGAAAAUUUUAUUGAAAGUGGAUUUGGAAGUAAAAUUGUAUAGAUAAACAAUUUGACUAUAGCUCUAAAAUAUGCACACAUCGCCCGUCACUCUUAUUACUAAGAUAAGAUAAGUCGUAACAUAGUAGAAGUACCGGAAGGUGUUUCUAGAAUGACAAUUUAAAGCUUAUUUAGUAAAGUAUUUCAUUUACAUUGAAAGGAUUUUUGUGCAAAUCAUUAUAAAUUGAUCGAUAUUUAUUUAUUAAUAUUUUUGGUUAUUUGUUUAAAAUAUUAAAAAUAAUUAUUAGCAUUAAUGUUUUAGUACUGUAUAUCGAAAAAAUAAUUUAAAUAAUAGUAUAUUAGUAAUGUAAGUGAAUAUUGAAAUAUCUGAAAA